Molecule: long non-coding RNA, 602 nt
Organism: Dunckerocampus dactyliophorus (ringed pipefish)
Lineage: Eukaryota; Metazoa; Chordata; Actinopteri; Syngnathiformes; Syngnathidae
Exons: 3
Source: RefSeq, a predicted model, not a curated record
UUUGCUACUACUACGAGUGCCCGCACCAACUGUAGCCCCACAACUUUUUAAUACAGCAUAUACUGUUUGUACUACAUCUUCUCAGGAAGGAACAAUAUGUGAAAUAUCUACUAAAUUAACAGCAUUGGGAGGAGUUGGAACAUGAUCUACGUGCUCUACCAUCCCUCACUGUGACGCCAAACUGAGCCUGUUGGAGAUGCUGUGAGAGGAACACACAUGCACAGCCCCCCCUGCUGGAAACAGACAGACGGAGGAUGGUUUCUCUCCAAGGUGCCAUGGAGGAAAUAGGGCUGAUGUAAUGGGCAUGGGUGUGCCCUGGUUACCAUGGAGACAGUCUGUCAGUGCUGGCCCGGUGCACGUCGCGACACAAAAAAACCCCAGAGCCUACGGCAUGUGGAAGCAGACUCACAAAAUCACAACAAGAUCUUCCCACACACUCCUGGCACAGCUGGGCAAGGUCUUACUCUCUCUACAAGAUGGUUUAGUUUGUGGCCUUGUCAACAAACAACACAACAACACCCAUGCAGCAGCUUGCAGGAGGUAAACAAUGUCAGGGGCUGUUUACUGUGUCGUUUUGUACCUCCAUUCACGCCCCAACAAAA